Molecule: non-coding RNA, 75 nt
Organism: Podarcis lilfordi (Lilford's wall lizard)
Lineage: Eukaryota; Metazoa; Chordata; Lepidosauria; Squamata; Lacertidae
Source: the annotation of a GenBank genome assembly
GGAAGUGCCAUAGCUCAGUGACUUAGCAUCUGCCUUAUAUUUAGAAAGUCCCAGGUUCAGUUCCUGGUGUCUCCA